UCUGUGUCGAGGGGAGGAGGAAGCGAGUAACAGACAACCCUCAGCAAGUCUCUGUUCAUGGGGGUCGGCGUCCUUCUAUUAUGAGGUCUCGUAUAGUUGCUUUCUGUCUAGCAAUCGCCUCUAGCAGCACAAAAGGAGGUUGUUUUCGUUACCAUGUACAUGGAUAUUCUGGAACAGGAGGUGGAGCACCUCAGUGCUGAGGUGAUGCGGCUGCGCCUCAUGGUGCACCGUGUGACACAGGCGAUGGAGGCACCUCUACCUGAUCCACACCACCGCAGCAGCCACGUAGACCCACGGCAGGUGGCACCGCUUUCUAAAGCCACCAGCUCCGGUACCCCGAAAGGCCUACAAGUUACCUUGGACUCGUACAAAGAGAUACUACCGCUGGCGCAACUGCUUCUGGCACAGCAGCAGCAGCAGCAACGCAACGAUGCCGAAGUCUCCCACGGCCGGCGAAGACGGCAGCCGUCACGCCAUCACCGCCAUCCAAGCAGACAUCUCCGACCUGCCGCAUCUCGCAGAGCCGGCUCAUCUAGUUCUCGAUCCAGCCCUUGUGCAGCGCCAUCAAGGAGCCAGUCACAGAGGUCCUCUGACGCCCCGCUUACCAUAUCCUCGUCGCACAUUCAGGGCAACAAGCCGACACGCUUCCUGUCGCACACGAAUGCAGGACCGGCACGCACAUCCUCGCCGUCUUUGACCACCACCUCGUCCUCUCCGACGCUUGUGGUGCUGAAAAAGGAUGGCCACGGGAAGCGCACUAAGCCCGCACUGGCGCAGGGGCAAGGUGACACCCUCUUCGCCGGCGAGCGAAGCACCAGCGCGAACCCCAUCCAUGUUGCGCCAACACGAGAGGAGCCACCAUCGGCAAACGCGACGGCGCCGACUCCCAUAGCGACCUCUGUCGUGAGCCGUCUACGAGCGCAGCGGCAACAAGAAGCGGCAAACGAGCAGGAGAGGACCCCAGACCGCAGCAAUGUCAUGCCGAUGGCAACGUCGCCGACCCGGUCGGCAACCACAUCGCCGUCACGAUCAGAAGUGCGUCGCACGUAUGUCAUGAACGCGACCACAGUGGCGAGUCCCCGGAAGAAAGUUGCCCCAGCUACGGAGCCGGCAGCGGCCGCCUCUCUGCUGCACCAGUCGGCCAGCAUCACUUCAAGCAAACGGCAGCUUUCGCCGUCAGAACAGGAGGCCGAGCGCCGCGCUGCUUGGCAUUCAUCAGAAGGGACAGGCCAGUGCAGCCUCUCGACCUUUCCCCCCGGCUGCGAGGCACCGGGCGCGCUGUCCGAGUCGCCCGUGUCCAGCAAGCGCGCCUCCCUGCAAGCCGGCUCCUUGCAAUACGGUAGUGCUGCGAGCAGCAUCAUCCAUAGCGAGCAGGGCAUAUACAACUACAGCGCCCUGUCGUCGGCCUACAACUCCCCUGCGUUGAGUCAUGUGCCGGAGGACGCAACAGCAGCAACGAGGGCGGUCCAAGCUGCGUCGACGCCAUCGCCGGCACCGUCAGCGCAAGCCCCCUCUUCGCAGCAGCGUCACAACCAGCUGGGUCUGCAAACGAGCGCACUGUCGCCUGCACAGGAAUAUGCGUCAUCCUCGAGCAGCACAUCUGAGGAAAGCACUGAGGGGGAUGCGGCAGAGCUGCAAAAGGCGCUGCAUUCAGUGAUCCCGAGCCCGUACAGAGCAGGCGUGAUCCUCGGCGGCCGCCAACCCAUUAGCGUGCAGUCCAUGAACGUUCCCUCUGCCUUCGUCACGGCUUCGACCAGGGCGUGUGCCGCUGGAAGCAACCCAGCUGCCGCGGCGAUGCUCGGUCGUGGCGACCACGCGAGCGCUGCGUCGCGGGCGAAUCUGCUGCAGGCGUUGCGGCCGAUACCCUCCGACAGCAGCGCAUCCACAUCGUCCUCAUCCAACAUUGCGGCCUUUUGCCAUCCCUCGCUGCGUCAGUCCACCGAAGCGCACCACCGCGACUCGAGCUUCCACAACUACUCAGACUCGGCCUCGUCGCAACCGUCAUCGCAGAACGCCGGGACACGUUUCUCGGAGGAGUCGCCUGCAGGCCCCUACACGUCCCAGAGCCAGGAUGCGUACAGCCUCGCUUCCUACUCGCUUCAGCACUCUAUCCAGCGCUCCUCGCGACGGAAAAGUAGCGACGCCUCGCAGAACUCUUCGCGGGCGCUUUCGCACUUCAUGUGCCCACCCCAGCUCGCGCAGAGCGUUUCCCUCGGCACCUCGUCGGUGGGCCAUGUAGGUUCCAUCUCGGCUGGUGGGUACUACUACGGCUACAACUUGGGUCUCGGCAGCCCGAGUCAGCGAAGCCUGGCGCUUUCCCCCACUGCCGAGGCAUAGCCUGUCGUGCGGUGCGAGGAGCGCGCCAGUACGUGGAGCUCGUCACCACUGCGCGCAACGAAGGAUUGAUACACCUACUCAUCGAAGAUGACGGUAAAUGGUCAUUUUCUUGGGAUCGCGCGCGGCUGCCCUAUGUUGAGGCGCAGGUGGAAUAGACCUGCUCGAACGCACCAGCUGGUGCUGCAACCUUGCCCUGUUUGCUUCUUUUCUCCUCUCCCUGCGGGGCGCACCACACACACACACAGAGCAGUCCUCCUCCUCUUGGCCUGCCUUGCAUCCCUGUACCUUCCUUCUUUCUGCCCCUCCCCUUCCCGUACCCCGCUCUUUCUCUCUCUCCCUGCGGCUCUUUGCCAG
This 2691-nucleotide unclassified non-coding RNA is filed under the name Leishmania donovani. RNAcentral's name for it is "gene:LdHU3.36.7910(CDS-product:hypothetical_prote in_conserved)". The record is from RNAcentral. Lineage: Eukaryota; Euglenozoa; Kinetoplastea; Trypanosomatida; Trypanosomatidae.